GGCCGCGCAGGCGCGAUGGCGGCGCGGGCGGCGAUGGCGGCGGCGGCGGGCGGCGGGGCCCGGCCCGCGGUGGUGCUGGGCGCGAUGGAGAUGGGCCGGCGAGCCGGGCCCGAGGCCAGCGCCGAGCUGCUCCGCGCCUUCCUGAGCCGCCGACACCGCCUCAUCGACACCGCCUUCAUGUACGCGGGCGGCGAGUCCGAGCGCAUCCUGGGCACGCUGCUGGCCGGCGGCACCGAGCCCGUGGAAGUGGCCACCAAGGCCAACCCGUGGGAUGGGAAGACGCUGAAGCCUGAGAGCGUGCGCUCCCAGCUGGACACGUCCCUGGAGAGGCUGCAGAGGAAGAGUGUGGAGCUCUUCUACCUCCACGCUCCUGACCACGGCACCCCGGUGGAGGAAACCCUGCGUGCCUGCAACGAGCUGCACAAAGAGGGGAAGUUUAAAGAGCUUGGCUUGUCAAACUACGCCGCGUGGGAGGUGGCAGAAAUCUGUGCCAUCUGCAAGUACAACAACUGGGUUAUGCCAACUGUGUACCAGGGAAUGUACAACGCGACCACACGCCAGGUGGAGGCCGAGCUGUUCCCCUGCCUCAGGCACUUCGGGCUCCGCUUCUACGCCUACAACCCGCUGGCAGGGGGGCUGCUGACCGGCAAGUACAAGUACGAGGACAAAGACACGCGCCAGCCCACUGGGAGAUUUUUUGGGAAUGACUGGGCUCAGGCCUACAGGGACAGGUACUGGAAAAAACACAAUUUUGAGGGAAUUGCACUGAUAGAAAAAGCUCUGAAAGAGGCUUAUGGCUCCACUGCACCCAGCCUGGCAUCUGCUGCACUGCGCUGGCUCUACAACCACUCCAAACUGCAGGGUUCUCUUGGAGAUGCAGUGAUCAUUGGGAUGUCCAACCUGGAGCAGCUGGAGCAGAACCUCACCUACAGCGAGGAGGGUCCCCUGCUGCCGGGCGUGGUGCAGGCGUUUGACCAGGCCUGGAACCUGAGUGCACACGACUGCCCCAACUACUUCCGCUAGGGAAGGCAGGCUGGGACACCUGGCACAGGCUCUGGAGACCUGGGAGAGGCACUGCCCAGCCCACCCUCCACAGCUGGGGGGCUGCAGGUUUUUCCUGACUCUUUGUAGGAGUCACACCUGUGCCUUAGCCCUCCCUCCUGCCCCCUUGGCUCCCCCAGCACAGCCUGUGAUUCAGGAUGCAGCUGAUCAGGAAAGUGAACACCUUCACAAGGUGAAGGCCCUUGUUCUGCUUGAAUGUGAAAUCUUAAAUAAUUACAUACAAGAAUAAAAGCUCUUUCUAGUGCA
Taeniopygia guttata (zebra finch) is the source of this 1308-nucleotide non-coding RNA. The record is from RefSeq and is a predicted model, not a curated record. NCBI's taxonomy places the organism in Eukaryota, Metazoa, Chordata, Aves, Passeriformes, Estrildidae.